Molecule: ribosomal RNA, 467 nt
Filed under: uncultured Cellulomonas sp.
Lineage: Bacteria; Bacillati; Actinomycetota; Actinomycetes; Micrococcales; Cellulomonadaceae
Description: bacterial SSU rRNA
Rfam family: Bacterial small subunit ribosomal RNA
Source: RNAcentral
GACGGGGCCCGCACAAGCGGCGGAGCAUGUGGAUUAAUUCGAUGCAACGCGAAGAACCUUACCAAGGCUUGACAUACACCGGUAACGCCCAGAGAUGGUGCCCCUUUGUGGUCGGUGGACAGGUGGUGCAUGGUUGUCGUCAGCUCGUGUCGUGAGAUGUUGGGUUAAGUCCCGCAACGAGCGCAACCCUCGUCCUAUGUUGCCAGCGGGUCAUGCCGGGGACUCAUGGGAGACUGCCGGGGUCAACUCGGAGGAAGGUGGGAUGACGUCAAAUCAUCAUGCCCCUUAUGUCUUGGGCUUCACGCAUGCUACAAUGGCCGGCACAAAGGGCUGCGAUACCGCGAGGUGGAGCGAAUCCCAGAAAGCCGGUCUCAGUUCGGAUUGGGGUCUGCAACUCGACCCCAUGAAGUCGGAGUCGCUAGUAAUCGCAGAUCAGCAACGCUGCGGUGAAUACGUUCCCGGGCCUU